AGCUUUGCGCAGUGGCAGUAUCGUAGCCAAUGAGGUUUAUCCGAGGCGCGAUUAUUGCUAAUUGAAAGCAGAAACCAGAUCUUGUUCAUCUUUGUGUCCCUACCUUCUGCCAUAGUGCGUAUCGUAAAGUAGGCACUUAAAUAUUUUAUUGAACUGAAAAUAUUUC
Molecule: small nuclear RNA, 166 nt
Organism: Neogale vison (American mink)
Lineage: Eukaryota; Metazoa; Chordata; Mammalia; Carnivora; Mustelidae
Gene: U4
Rfam family: U4 spliceosomal RNA
About the family: U4 small nuclear RNA (U4 snRNA) is a component of the major U2-dependent spliceosome. The structure of U4 snRNA from yeast and human has been reported.
Source: Ensembl